UUCAAUCAGUUCAGGCUUCUCUGUUCCCAUCUCUAAGUUAAAACGGACAUUUCCUGACUGGCCAGACACUUGGAGUUCUGAUUUCAUCUCCCUUUAGCAUCUGCCAGGAAAAGAGACAAAAUGCAGAGGUCCAAGAAAGUUCUCUCACAAGAGGACAGCAUCUUGACAGAGAUUCAAUGCUUAGAAGAACUGUACAGAAGAUACAGUAAGUGUGGAGGCUGCUAGAGUCCAAGAGACCAGAGGAAGACCAUGAUAACAAGGUGAUACCAUGACAUGCAUGAAUUGGAUUUCAAUGAGAGAGACCUGUGCAGUCACCAGCCUCACUUUCUCCUUCAGAGCCAUCUGGGUCCAUUGACAAAAUAUAUAGAUACAAAUGACUCAAGAUGGUCCUGUUAGGAGCAGUGAAUAAAAGUUACAAGGAAGUAGAUUUUAACUUGAGAUAGAAUAAUAAUUAGAACUACCCAACAAGAGAAAAGAUUAUUUGUGAAAUAAAAUGGCAAAGCAAGAGGUAUUUUGCAUUGUUAGAGGGAAUUUUUUUCAUUCAGAUUUCCUUCUAUAAAAUAAAAGAUUUGGA
Molecule: long non-coding RNA, 574 nt
Organism: Sarcophilus harrisii (Tasmanian devil)
Lineage: Eukaryota; Metazoa; Chordata; Mammalia; Dasyuromorphia; Dasyuridae
Exons: 3
Source: RefSeq, a predicted model, not a curated record